CUGAGUCGGUGACCAUUGAUGGCCUGAGUAGGCGGCAAAAAAGAACGUGGCGGUGGCAGGGGGAUUUUAGAGAGAGGCGCGACAUCGGUGGCGAUUCAAGGUGAGGAGCCACGUGCACAGCGUCGCGCCGCCUCUCUUCACCGGCGAGGAACACCAUCGUCGACCACCCCUCUCAUCGACGCAGCAAUUAGCAGCCGCUAGAGGACCUGUUGCCGCUGUCGUCGCCCUCCAUCCUUCGCUCUCUCUAUUUCUCACUCCAGAUCCAGAAACCCCCCCUAUCUUCUCANAGCGUCGCGCCGCCUCUCUUCACCGGCGAGGAACGCCACCGUCGACCACCUCUCUCAUCGACGCAGCAAUUAGCAGCCGCUAGAGGACCUGUUGCCGCUGUCGUCGCCCUUCAUCCUUCGCUCUCUCUAUUUCUCACUCCAGAUCCAGAAAUCCCCCCUAUCUUCUCAGGUAACAACGGCAAUCCCUCGUUGUUUGUGAAAUUUCGGCAACCAUGGCUGCCUCCAGCCUCAACUCCCUCUCACCGUCCGGACGCACGGCAACUACAAGCUCAGAUUUUUUCCAAAAUGUUCAUUUACUGAUUUGGUUCUAAAUUUGAGUGGGAAAAUUGAUUUUUCAUUUGAAAUGUAGCUAUAGCAAAUCUGAGUGUAUGCUUAUUUCUUGUUCAUUUAUUGAUUUUGUUCAUUUAGUUCAAGCUUGGUGAAGUCAGUCUCUAAUUAAGGAUUCGAUUUGUUCCCAGUCUUAGCUUUGUUGUGUUUAUUUAUUUGGAUUUCUUGUGCUCAUUUCUUUGGAUU
RNAcentral lists this long non-coding RNA (800 nucleotides) under Salvia miltiorrhiza (redroot sage). Its description in RNAcentral is "long non-coding RNA (SMIL_LNC007851)". The record is from RNAcentral. Lineage: Eukaryota; Viridiplantae; Streptophyta; Magnoliopsida; Lamiales; Lamiaceae.